AGGGUACUGUAGUUGCCCCAUUCCAGUUAUUACUUUAGUUGCCCUCCUCUGUACAAUCUCCAGCUCUGCUAUGUCUGCCUUGUUCACUGGAGGCCAGAACUGUACACAGUACUCCAUGUGUGGUCAGACUAGUGAUUUGCAAAGUGGCAGAACUAUCCUUUGGAUAGGUAAUCAAUAUCAGAUCAGUGGGGGUCCGACACCUGGCAC
Bufo bufo (common toad) is the source of this 207-nucleotide long non-coding RNA. RefSeq lists it as uncharacterized. Lineage: Eukaryota; Metazoa; Chordata; Amphibia; Anura; Bufonidae. The record is from RefSeq and is a predicted model, not a curated record. The transcript has 3 exons.